Molecule: ribosomal RNA, 122 nt
Filed under: Lepraria membranacea
Lineage: Eukaryota; Fungi; Ascomycota; Lecanoromycetes; Lecanorales; Stereocaulaceae
Description: partial 28S ribosomal RNA
Rfam family: Eukaryotic large subunit ribosomal RNA
Source: RNAcentral
CAAUGAUUGACCUCGGAUCAGGUAGGGAUACCCGCUGAACUUAAGCAUAUCAAUAAGCGGAGGAAAAGAAACCAACAGGGAUUGCCUCAGUAACGGCGAGUGAAGCGGCAACAGCUCAAAUA